GGGCGGCCACCAGGAACAAAACCACGAUAAGAUCGUAAAGGAGGUAGAAAUGCUCCUCCAUGAGCACGAAACGCACCAUCUUCACCAUCAGCACCAAGGACACGAGGAUCACCAUAACGAGGAUUGCUACAACACUUAGAAGACACUCACGGACACGGGCAUGAGGACGACCAUCACGACGACCAUCUCCAUCACAAGCAUCACGAUCACCAUGAGCACCAUCACCAUGACCACCACGAUGACCACGACCACCAUGAAGCCAC
This is a long non-coding RNA of Penaeus monodon (black tiger shrimp), 263 nucleotides long. RefSeq lists it as uncharacterized. The transcript is spliced from 3 exons. The record is from RefSeq and is a predicted model, not a curated record. NCBI's taxonomy places the organism in Eukaryota, Metazoa, Arthropoda, Malacostraca, Decapoda, Penaeidae.